UUGGGCCUGGGAGUUUUGGGAGUUCUCCUAAAACAGUAAAUUUGUUUUGGCUUUGGGCCGGACUGGGAAGAGGAGGAAAGGAAGGCCUUAAUUGGGCCAAACUAGUGGGUCCGAAAGGUCUAGCUGUUUGGAGCUGCCUUUCCGAUUUGACAUUCUUGAAUGGGCUAGUCUUUGAUGGCUUCAUGGCCCUGAAGAAAUUCUCGGGUUAGAAAGUCUGGUAGGGAAUUAUUUUCACCUUUAAUAAAAUCAAUUUUGAAAUCAAAGCUAGAUAGGAGAGCUUGCCAUCUAGC
This 290-nucleotide long non-coding RNA is filed under the name Nicotiana benthamiana. RNAcentral's name for it is "long non-coding RNA (NBEN_LNC035014)". Lineage: Eukaryota; Viridiplantae; Streptophyta; Magnoliopsida; Solanales; Solanaceae. The record is from RNAcentral.